This is a long non-coding RNA of Chenopodium quinoa (quinoa), 785 nucleotides long. RefSeq lists it as uncharacterized. Lineage: Eukaryota; Viridiplantae; Streptophyta; Magnoliopsida; Caryophyllales; Amaranthaceae. The record is from RefSeq and is a predicted model, not a curated record. The transcript is spliced from 3 exons.
UAUGUGAGGACAUAAUACAACCGUUGGAUCAAUUGCAUCCAAUGGCUAUUAUUUAUCAAACAUAAUUUCAAAAACAAAAUUCCAGCUUUUUCUCUCUCCUCCUUCAUUUUGAUGCGUCUUUCUCUCUGCUAUUUGCUCUUAUUCUUCUUCAAACUUCAUAACUUCUUCAUCAAGAAUUGUUCCGUGCUAUGGAUUCUUCGGUUGUUAUGGAUUCUACUAAUGCUAUGGAUUCUACCAAUGCUAAAGAUUCCACGGUUGUACCUUUGGCAAGGAAAAUGUCAUAAUCAUUGAAAAAUUUCGUUCGAAGUAUAGCCACUCAAUUAUUUCAAGUGAAGUAAAUACUAUUGAAUCAAACAAAUUGGUCAAAAGAAAAAAAAAAAGGUUGAAGAAAGCUGGUGUUGCAACUUAAGAAAGCUAGUUGUCAAUGAUAUGAUCUUAGUAGCAUCCCCAAGGGGAAGCAAUCCAAGAGCAUUCACGGUAGAGAAGACUGAAGUUGAUAUGCUUUUUAUUGGUUACUAUUUUGAUGUUAGUUACUAUUUGUGUCCUUGUCUGCAUAAGACAAGUUGAUUUUAGGAAGAAUCACAUUUUGGCAAUUGUAUAUUAGGGAAGGAGGGCAAAUUAGGAGGUUAGGCAAUUGUUCUUAUGAUGUUCUUAGGAUUUGUAUAGAACGGUAUUAGUAUUAGUUUUUAUGAUGUUCUCAAUGGCACAAAUGUGUUUGUGUUAAUCUUGUUCUUAUAACAUUUGGUAUGUUAAUGUAAUGGUAAAUAUUUUCUAAAAGUUGAUCU